Molecule: ribosomal RNA, 265 nt
Filed under: uncultured bacterium
Lineage: Bacteria
Description: partial 16S ribosomal RNA
Rfam family: Eukaryotic small subunit ribosomal RNA
Source: RNAcentral
GGUACCCGUUGACCCCAUUCGUGAUGGGGAUCGGGGAUUGCAAUUAUUCCCCAUGAACGAGGAAUUCCCAGUAAGUGCGGGUCAUAAGCUUGCGUUGAUUAAGUCCCUGCCCUUUGUACACACCGCCCGUCGCUACUACCGAUUGGAUGGUUUAGUGAGGCCCUCGGAUCGGCCCCGCCGGGGUCGGCCCACGGCCCUGGCGGAGCGCUGAGAAGACGGUCGAACUUGACUAUCUAGAGGAAGUAAAAGUCGUAACAAGGUAACC